UACGAAGGGGGCUAGCGUUGUUCGGAAUCACUGGGCGUAAAGCGCACGUAGGCGGAUCUUUAAGUCAGGGGUGAAAUCCCGGGGCUCAACCUCGGAACUGCCUUUGAUACUGGGGAUCUCGAGUCCGGGAGAGGUGAGUGGAAUUGCGAGUGUAGAGGUGAAAUUCGUAGAUAUUCGGAAGAACACCAGUGGCGAAGGCGGCUCACUGGCCCGUUACCGACGCUCAGGCGCGACAGCGUGGGGAGCAAACAGG
This 253-nucleotide ribosomal RNA is filed under the name uncultured bacterium. RNAcentral's name for it is "partial 16S ribosomal RNA". It matches the Rfam family "Bacterial small subunit ribosomal RNA", at positions 524 to 776 of the family's 1533-position model. The record is from RNAcentral.